RNAcentral lists this ribosomal RNA (243 nucleotides) under uncultured Actinomycetales bacterium. Its description in RNAcentral is "partial 16S ribosomal RNA". It matches the Rfam family "Bacterial small subunit ribosomal RNA", at positions 88 to 334 of the family's 1533-position model. The record is from RNAcentral. Lineage: Bacteria; Bacillati; Actinomycetota; Actinomycetes; Actinomycetales.
UACUCGAGUGGCGAACGGGUGAGUAACACGUGGGUGAUCUGCCCUGCACUUCGGGAUAAGCCUUGGAAACUGGGUCUAAUACCGGAUAGGAGCCAUUUUUAGUGUGAUGGUUGGAAAGUUUUUUCGGUGUAGGAUGAGCUCGCGGCCUAUCAGCUUGUUGGUGGGGUAAUGGCCUACCAAGGCGGCGACGGGUAGCCGGCCUGAGAGGGUGGACGGCCACAUUGGGACUGAGAUACGGCCCAG